UCGCAUCUAAUAAAUAACCUUAAAAAGUUCAUAGACAAUUUAUAGAAUCUAUAUGCAAAAUACAUAUAUUUGUACGUGGUGUGCAAGAUCCACGAUCUUGCGAUGUAUCCCUUCCUAAGAUUGGUUAUCAUACCACACCCUUGAUACACGAGUAAGGUUCACAUCACACCUCAGUACAUUGUCACAGAUGCCACCACGCCCCAUCUUUGGUCAUCUCUAUAAUUAUGUGUCUUCCCAUGCUUCGAGAGCACAUUCAUGUCUCUCCAUAUGAUAUGAUCGUAUUCUACUUGAAUAUGAGCAAUUUGCACAACACGAUAGUUAAAAAGUACAAAUUUUAGGAAGUCUAUCAGCACAAUGUAAACUCAUGCACUAUAGCUCACCAAUAAUCACCCUCUUUAAUAUUGAACUCAGCUGAACCAAUGGUCCUUAAUGGAGAGCCUCAACAUGUAUCACCAUUAUCUAUACAUACAAUUAUAGUUCAAAUAACAAUCACACUCCACCUUAAAGAGUACACCCACAACAUAUCAUGUGUUAUGUCAACUAAUAUCCGACCCACACCUUUGCAUCAAGUCAAUGCAUGUCUCACACCUUGUAUCCCUACCAAUGCAUGUAUUACACUCUUCGCCCAACUCAAUGUAUAUGUUACACCUAACAACAAAGUCAUACAGAAC
RNAcentral lists this long non-coding RNA (671 nucleotides) under Lupinus angustifolius (narrow-leaved blue lupine). Its description in RNAcentral is "long non-coding RNA (LANG_LNC001393)". The record is from RNAcentral. Lineage: Eukaryota; Viridiplantae; Streptophyta; Magnoliopsida; Fabales; Fabaceae.